UUGACAUGCCAUGCUCAGUAAUAGUAGUUAUCUUAUUGACGUGUAGGCCUACCUCAAGAUAGCUAUCCCCCAAUCAACACCGCUCCUGCUUCUCUCUCGACAACACAUUCCUGGGCCCCGUCUUACAAAGAGUUGCGAUCGAUCUGAUCAACAACAACUAUGGAAAGCCACCAACAUCAACAUAUAAAAUGGAUGAUUGCUCAAAAUAUUUUAUAGGCCCUCUAUUGCCAUAGUAGCCUCUAUGGUUUUGUAAAGUGCGGCAAAGUUAUUUUACAAAAUAUCAGACGAUGGCCUGUAGACCUCAUCAUGGCAUUGCAACAUCAUUGCAAAGGUACUUCAGGGAAGCCGCGUUGGGUCUCAUCUCAUAAAGACUUGUAACAAAUGCUUAAUUUCUAUAACAAAUUGACUAUCGUUCAAUCAGAUUGAAAAAUUUCAGUAGCUUUUAACUGUUAUUGGAUGAUCAUACAGUGAUUGUGGAAUUUGAAUAGAAUUGCAGGGUAAACACAAUGGCCCGUAUUCUGAAGUCGGGUUUAACUUAAACUCGGGUUUAAAGUUGUGGUUUAAGUAUGGACAGCCAAUUGUUACAUAUAUCACUAACAGUAGGGAUAUAAUAUUUCAGCUCAUUUGGCUCUCAAAUCAUUCGUAAUUGUCUAGGGAGUAUAUAUAGAUUAUUGUCUUCACCAUCGAUGAAUCAGGAAAGAGCACAGCAAACAUAAGAAACGUACAACUUAAUAAAAAGAAUUGAUACUUUUGGCUGUCCAUACUUAAACCACAACUUUAAACCUGAGUUUAACUUAAACCUGACUUCAGAAUACGGGCCUAUAAGUAUGUAGAUUGCAAGGCAUCUGCAUGGUGUCUGUAAAGCCUCUGCACAAAAAUUGUACAAUCAGAAGAGAUGAGGUCACAAAAACAUUUUUUUUCUGACAUUUCAAAGUUAUUAAUGGCAUGUAUCAACAAUGAAUGAUUGAAAAAAAGCUCAAACCCAAAUUUGGUGGGUAUUGAUCCAAUGGGGGCCAGAGAUGUGUAUGUAUGAUUACCUACUUACCCCCCUUUGAAAUCAAUCUCAAUUGGCCUGGUUGCAAAUGGUUAUGAACUGGGCCAAUCAAUCCACAUUGAUUUCAUUGGAGCCUAUGUCAUGUUUUCAUUUGCCAUACCUUGGAUCACCAUAAACCAAAUCAUGUUAAGUUUGGUGUGUGGAGCAUUUGCAUCAUGCAUAAAAAGAAAAUUGAUGUCACACUUUGGUACUCUGUGACAAUUUUUUGAUAGAGGCUUUGAAGAUCACAGGGCGAUAGCACAAAUCCUGUUUAAUCUAUGCAAAGGCUCUGUACAGCCUCGCCAUUGCAUAAGAAAAUGCAUGAUGCAUAUAGAUAAUGUGAGCACAUAUCUUAUAGACUAAUAAUCUAAAAUGCCCCCCCC
Lytechinus pictus (painted urchin) is the source of this 1416-nucleotide long non-coding RNA. RefSeq lists it as uncharacterized. The transcript is spliced from 2 exons. NCBI's taxonomy places the organism in Eukaryota, Metazoa, Echinodermata, Echinoidea, Temnopleuroida, Toxopneustidae. The record is from RefSeq and is a predicted model, not a curated record.